GCCUUGGUUGUUUCAUUUGUAAGGUGGGGAUUAUAGCUGUAACUUCUUUAUAGGGUUGGGGUUUUUUUGGUACUAGGUAUUGAACUUGGGACCCUGUGCUUUCGAGGCAGGCAGUGGAACCACUGAGCUAAAUCCCCGGCCCGUUAUAGGGUUGUUUUGAAGAUGAAGUGAGUUAUAGAUGUAAAGCCUAUAGUAACACACAGUAAACACUCAAUAAAAAGCUUUAUUAACUUAAAUUCAUUUUUUUCAUAGCCCUUGUAAAGUCCUUACCACUCUUUGGGAGUGAAGCAUUUUCUUUUUCUUUUUUUUCUUUUUUUUUUCAGUGAAGCAUUUUCAAAAAGUACUUAGUAGCCCAGAUCCAGGGUUCUUUGUGUUUCAUUCCAGAGGUUCCUGAGUGUGAACCACGUGGACAUUGCAUUAUUAAUGUCUUGUGCUCCCUGACUGCAGGCAAACUCUUGUCCCUUGUCAGCUCAGCCUGUGUACCAGGCUUGCUGUACUUAGUGAAUCUCAGAGUGCAGUAAGAGGAACUGAAAGUGGCAGAAAGUGAAAGCAAAAUAAAAUUUAGCUAGGAAUCACUGAGCUGCUUUUCCCCUUGCCGUGUAUGAAAGAAGAAAAUGAAGAAGAGGAAGGGGAAACGAAAGGGGAAGAAGAGGAAGAGGAAGAAGCAGCCCUCUGCUCAGCCUCAUUGUUCCACCCUUACAACCAUUGUCAAGGUGCCCAGACGGGGAAGCCAUAGCAGUGGACACACAAGGUUGUCCAGUCUGGGGUAUUCUGGUAUGGCAACCGGAAACAGACUGAAGCACUGAGUGGCUGACCUCGCAUCAUCAAGCCUUUCCCAGAUUUAAAAUUUAUUAAGGAACAAAAGGUUAAUGCAAAUUAAAAGCCUAAAUAACAACAGAAGGCUGUAUAUUAUUACAUGUGCAAAGAACAGGACAGUUAAUCAGUACAAUGGGAGUUCAGAAGAGGCAAAGAACUUGGGUCAUUGUGUUCAGAGAAAAUAUUUAUGAAAGAAGUGUAUGUGAAUUGGGAUAUUAAGUGUGAGGGUUUUCUAUGGGCAGAGGGGGAUUGGAAUGCUUUCAAAAAUAGGUGAACAGGAGAAAUGAACAAGAAAACAAAGAUGGGUAUAGUAAACAAACUAACAUGACUAAAAGGAAUACUAGGAGAAAUUGGUUUAAAAACGCAAAUUAAAUCUGGAUUGUGUUUGAACUGAGUUAAAAUAGUUAUAAAAAGCAGCAGUCCUUAGAAGGUUUUUGUAUGGCAAAAGCAAUAUUUUAGAAGAAUAAUAUAGCUGAAUACAGGAUGGUUUGCAGGGAAGCACACAGAAGCAAGUAAUCAGAAUCUUCAAAAUCUUGGUUAUAAAAAUCUUGUGCUUGUUUUGGAAUUAUUCAGAACCUUUUAGUUGCAUGUGAAAGAAAUGCAACUUGAACUAGUUUAAGAAAAAGGGAAUUCCUUGGUUUAUGUAAGAGGGAAUUCUGAGCUCCAUCUGUCCUAGGCAUAGUUGGAUCCAGGAGCAAAAACUGAUACAGUUUGUAA
This is a non-coding RNA of Heterocephalus glaber (naked mole-rat), 1533 nucleotides long. The record is from RefSeq and is a predicted model, not a curated record. Lineage: Eukaryota; Metazoa; Chordata; Mammalia; Rodentia; Bathyergidae.